GCAAGCGCAGCAGCAGGUCCAGCAGCAGCAGCAGCAGCCCCAACAGCAGCAUCAGCAGCAACAACAGCAAGCUAACUCCCCAGGAGGUGGAAAUGUGGGGAAAAGUAGUCCCUCGCCGGGAAAUUCGGCAUCUCCUGGAACUGUAACAGCAGCGAACAAAUCACAAACCGAACCUAAACCGGUCGAGUGCAAUUUGUGCCAUCGGAAAUUCAAAAACAUACCGGCUCUCAAUGGUCAUAUGAGACUGCAUGGCGGUUACUUCAAAAAGGAUGCUGAGAACAAAAAGAGUGAAAAGAAGGAGGUUGUUGGACCACCGCUGCAAACUGCAUCUGUCAGUGUAAGGGCACUCAUCGAGGAAAAGAUUAUACAGAAAAGAACGACUGCAGCCGACACAAGCACAAAUCAACAGCCCCGGACGAAUAUGACGGUUUUUACCACACAAGCCGACAAUGCGUCGCAGAUUUCCGGUAAAACGAGUUUCGCGGUGCCAGCACCGCCGCCAUUGGCCUCCGCGGACAAGGUUCGCAGACUUUCGGACGGCGAACACUUCCGGCAGCCCAACGUCACCGUUUCCGGCCACGCGACCGUGCAGAAACAGCUACAAGAAGCGCAAACCCAGGCACAGGCGCAGGCGCUGGCCGACAUUAUUCUGAAGGGGACUAAGAUGGCUGUGAAAAGAACAACUUCCGAUCCCGGCCAGAGACUGCACUUGACGUACCAGCCAUCGGUUCAGUCGACGAAUAAUCAGCAACAACAACAGCAGCAGCAGCAGCAGCAGCAACAACAACAGCAGCAGCAGCAGCAACAGCAGCAACAACAACAGCAGCAAAAUAAUCAACCUCAAGCACAACCCGCAGUUACAGACAGUUUCUCUAUGACUGGUUAUUCUGAAGACGGUGGUUAUUUCAGUCCAAGUCUGCAAGAUGAAGUGUUCCAGCAAGUCACCGCUGUUCCUGACAGUGUUCUGCUUCAUGCUACUCAGUUGGAUUCUCUUCAGUUUCAGACCGCGAGUCUGCUGCAAGAACAAUCGACGGAGCAACUGCAGGACAUUACUCUGGAGGAUCGAUACUCGUCGCAGCACACGGUGAACCCGGACCUGCAGGCGUUGGUCAACUCUCCAUUACCCGAUUCACUGGCCGAAUUCAGUACUUAUGGUGCCCAGUACACAGAAAGUCCACAUACCUUGCCCGCACAAUCCCCGUUGCCGUCACCAUUGACCAGACACGACAGUCCCAGUUUCACAUAUCCAACACCUCCAGCGAGUCAAGAGGGUCUCCUGACGGGUAGUUUUCCUCUGUUGAGCCCGCAAGAGGACCCAGAAAGCGUCAGACAAGUGUCGUCGCCUUUAUCCGCGGCUUUCUACACGACAACCAUGUCAUCCGCGGCGGCUGUCGAGGAAGCGCUCAGCGAAGUGUUGCCGGCCGAAUCGGAAGCGGACGCGGAUCUGUACGGUUCCGGUUCGCCUAAUCCGCAUUCGCCACUGCCAAGUCCUUUGUCCGCGACCCCAGCACCGUCGCCCUUGUCGUCGUUGCCGCCAUCGUCGGUGUCCUCGCCAGGACCAGUGUCGUUCACGGGCACCAGCUUCCCGGUAUCUCCCCACCACGCUCUGCAAAGCCAAAUGAUGCCUAAUUCGGAGGAUCCGUUACUCUCCUCGACCCCGAAGGACUUCACCACCGCCAGUCGAAGACGGUUCGAAUUUCAGUCGUACAAGUUCAUCGCCAGCCAGAACCUGGUGGACUUCGGUCUGGGCAACGGUAGUCUGGCGGGAAUCGUGGUCGACAACAACGGCGAGUUCAAGCUGAUACAAACUGCCGGGUUGCAGAAGACGAACGUGCUGGUUCAGACGGGCUCCCUGAGCCCGGCUCUCACCUUCAAGAAGGAGAUGCGACUGACGACGCCGAAGGUGGAGCCUGUCACCGUAAACCUGGGUCUGAAUGUGCACACCAACCAUCAGUACAACGCUGGACAGUUCAACCAACAGCAACUAGUGAACCCGGCCAAGUUCCUCAUCCAGACGAACCCGGCCAAGAACUGUAACUUCAGACAGAAGACACCCAGCGGUAGCAGUUUGCCGAUCCCCGUGGAGCAGAUCAAGGAAGAGCUACUCGACGAAGACGUGUUCCUUAAUCCCAGCAACGUACCCGCUGGAAGCCCGGUCAGACAGUGCAGGAAAAGGCCGCGUAUGGACGGGAACUUGUACGCCAAUCAUUCGUAUCCAUCGAGAUUGAGGAAGGCCUGCGAUCGCCAUUGGGAUAGCAGUUACACACCGCCGCCCAUAUUGGACCCUUCCCGUCCUGGACCUGGACUGUACGCCAGGUUGCAUCAGUACGAGAGGGACUCCGACUUCAGCUCGGACGAUUCUCAAGGGAACGAUGGACCUCCGCCUAGGAUCAACAUCGGAACGAGGUAUCAAGCUACUAUACCGCCUGUGGGAAGUGACGGCGACAGAGGAAAGGGAGAGCCGGAAGCUGAUCAUCUGCUGUGGGAUCCUGGUAUAAAUAACGUGCUGACGGAUAAUGAACUGGAGAUGUAUCUGCAAUUUGCAUGCUGCGCUGCGGUGCCUGGUGGAGGAAGAAACAAAGAGUAUGCUCUUCAUCUGCUACACAUGUGCAGGGGAAACAUUCAUGAAGCGAUGCUGAAGCUGAUGAGACCAACGCCAUUAUUGCCAGCUGAACAUCCGUUGCUCAGUUACGAGUGUCACGAGUCCGACCGAUGGACGUCGCAGGAAAUGGACGCUUUCUAUCAGGGCCUGCUGAAGUACAACAAAGACUUCUCCGCGAUUUCGCGAGACGUGGCUGGCAAAUCGGCGAAACAAUGCGUGCAAUUCUAUUACCUGUGGAAGAGGCUCUGUCCGGACGAAUACAAGAGGCUGCGUGUUCGUCAUGGCAAACCAAAGAUUAAGACAGAGAGCAAGGAUUGCAAGGACACCAGAGAGCUUCGCGACGCCAUCGCGUCUGUCACGGAGAUGGACUUCAGCGAGGACAAAUCGAUUCUCCACCGCACCCUGUUACAGACAAACGAAAGAGAAAAUUCGGCUACCCUAACCACCAGCGAUGGAGAGCUGAGAUUAUUUGCAUACGAUUGCCCAGAUAGCUUUAGCGGAAGCGUAACAGUAACGAUGGCCGGGAGCACCCAAACCGCCCAAACCGGCAAUACCGGCCACGCCACAGUCAACACCAACUCACAAACUCACACUAGUUCUGAGCAACAACUACCCGUGCCCACCCCACUUCACUACCCCUGCAAGAUUUGCGGGAAAGUUUUCAACAAAGUGAAAAGCAGAAGCGCGCACAUGAAAUCGCACAGGCCGGUGCCCUCGCCCGAUUCAACGGGUCAGGAAUCUAAGAGGCCUGUCCAGCAGCAGUCGAAGGUGCAGCAGUCGCAGCAGUCCAAUCAGCGCCAGCAGCAACAGCAGCAACCGCAGCAGCAAUCACCGCAGCAACAGCAACAGCCGCAACAACAAUCGAGCAGCGUAUCACCGCAGGCCCAAGACUACAAUCAGCAGCAACUGCCUUCCAGCAAUGGCGACACCGGAGCUCAGAAGCCAGCCCACUUAUGGCACAACCCGACACGGCUUAGGCCACCAUAGGACGACGCCCAGCCGGUCCAACUAAAGUUACCUUAACGAAGGCUGUAAACGUGAAAAGGGAUUAACUGUUGACGGUGCUCCGCCAUAUCGUCGUGCACGAACUAUGGUUUCGUGGACUAUGGAGGGUGCACGAUGAGCGGUCUCCCUCGCGGAAGAAGGCUUUUCUUUCGGUUUUCAUCGAGCACAACGGACCUUCUUCAUCGACAAUGGCCUAGAGAGAAGAGACUCUUUAUCAACGAGCAACCAUCCAAACUACCCGGAUAGAGUUAAGUUGGAACGCGACUUAGCUGAUAUAUUCGCCACGAACGGUGGCGAUAUUGAACGAUUAUCGCGAUCAUCGAUGUACCUAAUCGCACGUGAAAUGUUCCCAGGAUUGUGCCACGCAAGACAUUACUGUUACCUGUUGCUUCUUCUGUCGUUUUAUCAUUGUUCCCUUUUCUUCUAUACCUUCUUCGCACUUUAUGUACCUUUCUUUCUUCUGGAUUUUUUUUAUUUCGAGGUACGGUGGCGGGGGGUGGGAGUACAUGGUACCUGGCGGAAUUUUCUAUUUUAUAUCUGGGAAAUUGUUUUGUGAUUUUUUUAGUUAGAGGUAUAGAGAUGUUAAGUUUUUCGAUUGGUAUAUUUGUAAGUUUGGAAUUUUUUAUUGGUGAUUUGUAAAAUUCUUAAA
This 4256-nucleotide unclassified non-coding RNA is filed under the name Megachile rotundata (alfalfa leafcutting bee). Its description in RNAcentral is "aP2-associated protein kinase 1-like, transcript variant X5". Lineage: Eukaryota; Metazoa; Arthropoda; Insecta; Hymenoptera; Megachilidae. The record is from RNAcentral.